CCUACGGGAGGCUGCAGUGAGGAAUAUUGGUCAAUGGGCGUAAGCCUGAACCAGCCAAGUCGCGUGAGGGAUGAAGGUUCUAUGGAUCGUAAACCUCUUUUAUAAGGGAAUAAAGUGCGGGUCGUGUCCCGUUUUGUAUGUACCUUAUGAAUAAGGAUCGGCUAACUCCGUGCCAUCAGCCGCGGUAAUCCGGAGGAUCCGAGCGUUAUACGGAUUUAUUGGGUUUAAAGGGUGCGUAGGCGGCCUUUUAAGUCAGCGGGGAAAGUCUGUGGCUAAACCAUAGAAUUGCCGUUGAAACUGGGAGGCUUGAGUAGGUUGGAGGCAGGCGGAAUGCGUGGUGUAGCGGUGAAAUGCGUAGAUAUCACGCAGAACCCCGAUUGCGAAGGCAGCCUGCCAAGCCAUGACUGACGCUGAUGCACGAAAGCGUGGGGAUCAAACAGGAUUAGAUACCCGAGUAGUC
This 460-nucleotide ribosomal RNA is filed under the name uncultured bacterium. RNAcentral's name for it is "partial 16S ribosomal RNA". It matches the Rfam family "Bacterial small subunit ribosomal RNA", at positions 338 to 795 of the family's 1533-position model. The record is from RNAcentral.